CCUACGGGGCGCAGCAGUGGGGAAUAUUGCACAAUGGGGGAAACCCUGAUGCAGCGACGCCGCGUGAGUGAAGAAGUAAUUCGUUAUGUAAAGCUCUAUCAGCAGGGAGGAAAAUGACGGUACCUGAGUAAGAAGCCCCGGCUAACUACGUGCCAGCAGCCGCGGUAAUACGUAGGGGGAGAGCGUUAUCCGGAUUUACUGGGUGUAAAGGGAGCGUAGACGGCAGUGCAAGUCUGGUGUGAAAGGCGGGGGCUCAACCCCCGGACGGCUCUGGAAACUGUACGGCUGGAGUGCAGGAGAGGGAAGUGGAAUUCCUAGUGUAGCGGUGAAAUGCGUAGAGAUUAGGAGGAACACCAGUGGCGAAGGCGGCUUAUUGGACUGGAUCUGACGUUGAGGCUCGAAAGCGUGGGGAGCAAACAGGAUUAGAUACCCUUGUAGUC
This 440-nucleotide ribosomal RNA is filed under the name uncultured bacterium. RNAcentral describes it as "partial 16S ribosomal RNA". It matches the Rfam family "Bacterial small subunit ribosomal RNA", at positions 338 to 795 of the family's 1533-position model. The record is from RNAcentral.